RNAcentral lists this ribosomal RNA (93 nucleotides) under Petromyzon marinus (sea lamprey). The record is from RNAcentral. Lineage: Eukaryota; Metazoa; Chordata; Hyperoartia; Petromyzontiformes; Petromyzontidae.
AUUCACAUGCAAAUCACCUGGAACGUGCCCGAUCUGAUCAGAUAUCAGAAGUUUAGCAGGUUUGAGCCUGGAUAUUGCUUGGAUGGGUGACUG